This 447-nucleotide ribosomal RNA is filed under the name uncultured bacterium. Its description in RNAcentral is "SSU rRNA". It matches the Rfam family "Bacterial small subunit ribosomal RNA", at positions 26 to 518 of the family's 1533-position model. The record is from RNAcentral.
AGGAUGAACGCUGGCGGUCUGCUUAACACAUGCAAGUCGAACGGGCGUAGCAAUACGUUAGUGGCGGACGGGUGAGUAACGCGUGAGAAUCUACCUUCAGGACGGAGACAACAGUUGGAAACGACUGCUAACCCCCGAUGUACCGAAAGGGCAAAUAUUUAUAGCCUGAAGAAGAGCUCGCGUCCGAUUAGCUAGUUGGAGAGGUAAAAGCUCACCAAGGCGACGAUCGGUAGCUGGUCUGAGAGGACGAUCAGCCACACUGGGACUGAGACACGGCCCAGACUCCUACGGGAGGCAGCAGUGGGAAUUUCGCAAUGGGCGAAAGCCUGACGGAGCAAGACCGCGUGGGGGAAGAAGGCUCUUGGGUUGUAAACCCCUUUUCUCUGGGAAGAACGCAAUGACGGUACCAGAGGAAUCAGCAUCGGCUAACUCCGUGCCAGCAGCCGC